RNAcentral lists this ribosomal RNA (437 nucleotides) under uncultured Glomeromycotina. RNAcentral's name for it is "SSU rRNA". It matches the Rfam family "Eukaryotic small subunit ribosomal RNA", at positions 596 to 1037 of the family's 1831-position model. Lineage: Eukaryota; Fungi; Glomeromycota. The record is from RNAcentral.
AGCGUAUAUUAAAGUUGUUGCAGUUAAAAAGCUCAUAGUUGAAUUUCGGGGUCAGUAGGUCGGUCGUGCCACUGGUAUGAACUGGUUUUACUGAUUCCUCCCUCUUGAAGAACUGUAAUGCCAUUAAUUUGGUGUUGCAGGGAAUCAGGACUGUUACUUUGAAAAAAUUAGAGUGUUUAAAGCAGGCUUUAGCUUGAAUACAUUANCAUGGAAUAAUGAAAUAGGACGUUUGAUCCUAUUUUGUUGGUUUCUAGGAUCGACGUAAUGAUUAAUAGGGAUAGUUGGGGGCAUUAGUAUUCAAUUGUCAGAGGUGAAAUUCUUGGAUUUAUUGAAGACUAACUACUGCGAAAGCAUUUGCCAAGGAUGUUUUCAUUAAUCAAGAACGAAAGUUAGGGGAUCGAANACGAUCAGAUACCGUCGUANUCUUAACCAUAAAC